GAUGAACGCUAGCGGCAGGCCUAAUACAUGCAAGUCAAGGGGCCCUUUCGGGGGCACCGGCGGACGGGUGCGCAACGCGUACACAACGUGCCUUUGACCGGGGGACAGCGGCGGGAAACUGCCGGUAAUACCCCAUGGAGCCGCAGGGGGGCGAUUUUUCUUGCGGCCAAAGUUGCGGCGGUCAGAGAUCGGUGUGCGUCCGAUUAGCUUGUUGGCGGGGUAACGGCCCACCAAGGCGACGAUCGGUAGGGGGUGGNGAGAGC
RNAcentral lists this ribosomal RNA (263 nucleotides) under uncultured bacterium. RNAcentral describes it as "partial 16S ribosomal RNA". It matches the Rfam family "Bacterial small subunit ribosomal RNA", at positions 28 to 299 of the family's 1533-position model. The record is from RNAcentral.